AAAGAGAGAUCUGAAAAAUUUGAGAGAGAAUCGGCAGGAGAGAAGGGAGAAAGAAGAAGAAGAGAAAAGAGGGGGAAAUAAGGGAAAAAGGAAAGGAGUUGAAGAGAAUAAGUUUAAAGGUAAGAUUUAGGUUGUUAAAUGUAUAAAUGUAUGUUAAUUGAGCUUAAUUUCAGUUUUGAUGAAUGUUAGGGUUUUGAAAAUUUGUGUUUUGGGUUUAAUUGAUGAAUUAAAUUGAAUGUUAUAAGGUUGAUUGUUAUGGGUAAUUGAUUAAUGAGUUGAUUAUGGAAGAUUGUGAUGAUUUUGAGUUAUGAAUUGUGUAAAUGGUGAAUGUUGAGUUAUAAAUUUGGCAAGAACAAUAGGUAAUCUGUUAAAAUUCUGGAUUGGAGGUUGAAGAUGACGAAAAUUCAAUUUGGUCCCUCAAUUUUGGAAAAUUACAGUUUAGUCCCCGAACUUUGGAAAAUUUGCAGAUUGGUCCCUGGGGCAUAUUCCGAGAUUCUGAACAGAAUAACAUAUGAAUUAUGGACAGAAUUACUGUAUAGAUAAGAGAAUUUAACACUUUCAAUUUAGUCCUCCAAUUUGACAAAAUUACAAUUUGACCCUAAAAAUUUGGUAAAAUUCCAGAAUGGUCCUUGGAGUAUAAUGAGAUGAUCUGGACAGAAAUGAGGACUAAUUAUGGUCAGAAUUUCAGUAUAUUCAUGGAUUUAUGAUAAAUUUCAGUUUGGUCCUUCAAUUAGACAAAAAUUGCAAUUUGACCCUUAAAAAUAGGAUAAAUUACAGAUUAGUCCCUAGCUGUAAUACUAGCUUUUGCAGAUUGGUUUGAUGAAUAAUUAAGGGUUAUUUAGUGAACUAUUUCCAAUUUUAUUAGUUGUUUUAUUAUGGAUUAGAUUUCGGGAAAACCGUUAAAUUUUGGGUUUUUGAGAAAAUUGAUUAGUGAGUUCAAAAACAUAUAUGAUUACGGAAUACACCCUUAGUUAAGUGUAUUAAAUAAGUUAAAUGUUCUUUUGAGUCGUUCUUGAAUAUGUCUCCUUUGUAUUCAGAUAAUCCUGAUAUUCUACCGAUAGGACGUCAGUAGGAUUUUCUUCGGUGUCUGCUUUUGGCUUCUGUUUGCUUUUGAGUCAGGUGAGUGGAUAAUUUUCCAUAUGCAUGAGAAAUAGUAUAAAUAUUUGAUUUGUUAAUAUGAAUUGAAUCAUGCUUCUUGAUAAUAUAUAUGUUGAUUAUUAUCCUUGUUUUGAUAAAGCAUGAUCAAUUGUUGAAUCCGAAUUCUUGAUAUGAACCAGUAUAUAUUUUGAAUUGAAUUCUGAAUUGAUAGCUCCUCAUUUGAUUGAUGUCAUGAGUUGAGCCUUGAGAUAUGAAUAUGUCUGUUUGCUUAUGAUUAUGAUUAUGAACCUAUGGUAUGUUAGUCAGAAUACCCAUGCUAACAGGGUAGUGUUAGUCUUUGUGCACAUCGUAUCCGAACCCUAGUUGGUCGGGGGAGUCACCAACCUGUGUGGACUGAUCAUCCCACAGUACGGAGCCUCAUGCUCAUUGCAUUUUGAUUUUCUGACGAGCUUUACCAUAUGAUAUUCUUGUUAUGGCCUAUUUGAGAAACCUUUCUAUACGAACCUAGAGCCAUACUUGUAUAUAUAUUUCUCAUUGCUGUAUUACCUCGUGUGUGUAUAUUGAACGUUAUCUACUCACUGAGUUGUUGAACUCACCCUCUCAUUAUUUAUCCUUUUCAGGCUUAUAGCUUGAUAGCAGGUCACUUUUGUUGGACUUUCCGAACCUGCUCUUUUGGUUGUAAUUUGUACCUUUUCCUUUAUGUCUAGUUAGUGCUCCAAAACUCUGAAUUUAUAUUAGCUCUUGUAUUAAGACAACUAAAUUAUAUUAUGAAGUUGAUUUUGUUGUUAAUGCUGCGUUGAACUCUGAUUGAGUUAGGAUAAGUUUGUGUGUAAGUUUGGGUUCGCAUAGGUAUGGAACCUUGGAGGGGAACCUUGCCUAUGUGCCGGUCAUGGAUCCGGGAUUCGGGUCGUGACACUCCUAUUGAGCAAUUAUCAGUACACCACCGGUCCGCGCAUGGGGAGCCGGAAUCCCCAACAAGAAAUUCUCAUUGUUCAUGUUAAAGACCUCGAAAUUCCAAAAUUAUAGCUAUCUAAAUGCUGAUCCCUUACACUCUUCGAAAUUGACCUUCAUCUUUUGGAUUUUAUGAGUUGGUAAACCUGCUAUUAAUCAGCGGACCGUGAGAAACCAAAAAUCAGAACAUAUUUUCAGACUGGUUUUAUUAAGUACAUACAAUUUAGUUUACAUGACUCAGGUUUAUGGAGUAUCUAGAUGAAGCUUAGACCACCCCUCCAUUGAUGCUUUGUGGACCUGAACUGUGAUGUUUUGAAUUAAAAGAGAUAGGAAAAGGCAACAAAGCUCUUGGAGGCUUAAAGAGUGGGUAUAAGUAAAUGAGGGGUAGUGUGGUAAUUAAAUAAACAUAAUAAGUAUAAAUAGAAAAAAAAAGAGAGAGAUCUGAAAUCAAGAGUGAUGAUGGGAUAAGAGAAGAAAAGGGGAAGAAGAAGAAGAUAAAAGAGGUAAAGAUAAGGGAAAUAGAAGAUAAUUGAAGAAAAUAAGUUUAAAGAUAAGAUUUAGGUUGUUAAAUGUAUAAAUGUGUGUUCUUUGAGUUUUAAAUUUCUGUUUUGAUAAAUGUUAGGGUUUUGAAGAUUGUGUUUUGGGUUGAUUGAUGAAUUAAUUUGAAUGUUAUGGGUUGAUUGUUGUGGGUAAUGAGUUGUUUAGUUGAUUUUGAAAGAUUUUAGGUAAAGAUGAUGAUUUUGAGUUAUGAUUUGUGUAAAUGGUGAAUUUUGAGUUAGAAAUCUUGAGAUAACAGUAGGUUUUCUGUGGAAAUUCUGGGUUUGAGGUUGAAGAUGACAAAAUUUCAGUUUGGACCCUCAAUUUAUAAAACUUACAGUUUAGUCCCUAAACUUUGAAAAAAUUACAAAUUUACCCUAAAAUUUUGGAAAAAAAUCCAGAAUGGUCCCUGGAGCAUAAUUAGAGAUUCUGGACAAAAAUGAGGAUGAAUUAUGGAUAUAAUUCCACUAUAGUCAUGAAUUUAUGAUAUUUUUAGGUUGGUCCUCCAAUUUGACAAAGUUACAAUUUAACCCUUAAAAAUAUGAUAAAUUCCAGAUUGGUCUCUAUCUGUAAUAUUAGCUUUUGCAAAUUGGUUUGAUGAAUAAAUGAGGGUUAUUUAAUGAAUUAUUAUCAAGUCUUAUUAUUUGUUUUAUUAUGAAUUAGAUUUCGAGAAAACCGUUUAAUUUUGGGUUUUUGGGAAAAUAACUAGUUUAGUAUAAAAACAUAUAGGGUUGUGAAAUAUACCCUUAGUUAGGUAUAUUAAAUAGGUUAUAUGUUCUUUCAAGUCGUUCUUGAAUAUGUCUCAUUUGUAUUCAGAUAAUCCUGAUAUUCUACCGGCGGGAUGUUAGUAGGAUUUCCUUCGGUAUCUGCUUUUGAGUGUUGUUUCCUUUCGAAUCAGGUGAGUGGAUAAUUUUUCAUAUGUAUAAGAAAUAUUAUAAAUAUUUGAGUUGUUAAUAUGAAUUGGAUCAUGCUUCUUGAUAAUAUAUAUAUAUAUAUAUAUAUAUAUAUAUAUAUAUAUAUAUGUUGAUUAUUAUCCUUGUUACGAUAAAACAUGAUCAAUUGUUGAAUCUGAAUUCUUGAUAUGAACCAAUAUAUAUUUUGAAUUGACUUUUGAAUUGAUAACUCCUCAUUUGAUUGAUGUCAUGAGUUAAGUUUUAAGAUAUGAAUAUGUUUGUUUGAUUAUGAUUAUAAAUCUAUGGUAUGCUAGUUAGAAUACUCAUGCUAACAAGGUAGUGUUAGUUUUUGUGCACAUCAUAUCUGAACUCUAGUUGGUCGGGGGAGUCACCAACCUGUGUGAACUGAUCAUCGCACAGUAUGGAGCCUCAUGCUCGGGGGAGUCACCAACCUGUGUGAACUGAUCAUCGCACAGUAUGGAGCCUCAUGCUCAUUGCAUUUUGAUUUUCUGAUGAGCUUUACCUUAUGAUAUUUUUGUUAUGGCCUAUUUGAGAAACCUUCUUAUAAGAACAUAAAGUUAUAUAUAUAUCAUUGUUGUAUUACCUCGUGUGUGUGUAUUGAGCGUUAUAGUACACUGAAUUGUUGAACUCACUCCCUCAUUAUUUAUCUUUUCAGGCUUAUAGCUUGUUAGCGGGUUAUUUUAUUGGACCUUCAGAACCUGCUCUUUUGUUUAAAUUAGUAUUUUCCUUUUAUGUCUAGUUAGUGCUCCAUAACUAUGAAAUUGUAUUAACUUUUGUAUUAAGACAAUUAAAUUAUAUUAUAAAGUUAAUUUUGUUAUUAAUGCUGCGUUGAACUCUGAUUGAGUUAGGAGAAAUUUGUAUGUAAGUUUGGGUUCGCAUAGGUAUGGAACUUUGGAGGAGAACCUUGUCUAUGUGCCGGUUAUUGAUCCGGGAAUUAGGUCGUGACAUGAACUAUAUAUUUCUAGUGAGUUUUGAGAUUUUUGGCUUUGUUGGAUUGUUUUUACAACUUUAAAAUAAACAUUUUUUGAGCAAGUUUCGUGCUGUGAAAAUAAUCAAGAGUACCAGUAAUGAAAGGAAGAACUUCUGGAAACGUAUGACAGAAAAUAGGACAAAAUUGGUAGGAUGCACUGAUUGAGAUUCAGAAGCAAUACCUAGCUUUAGCUUCUGCAAAUCCUGUGAACUGUGAAGCAUACUACCAGAAUGGUUUGCUUUCUCGUACAAAAGAAAACCAUCCUAUUCAAAGAAAACCUUUGUCUAACCCAACGGGGAUAGUUAGGAGAAUGACUUGGGACCUAAGUGGGAUUUGGUUUGUGGUUAGACCAGUUACGAUGUUGCCCAUCAAAACCAUCAAUUUCCUCACAAAUUGAAUUAGAUAGAAGAACAUAUUCAAAUCAGUAAAAGAAUUAGAUUGAAUUAGAUCCUAUUCAAAGAAAACAUCUGAGAAUGUUGGUGAAGUCUUGCCUUCAAUACAAGAUAGUGAAACAGUAAAAGAAAUGAAUGUAGUAUAAGACAUGAAGACAUUCUUAUAAAUAUAAAAAUCAGUUCUUGUUAAGAAAAUAAUUACUGACAUUUCAUGCAUGCAUACAGAAAGCAAUGAUCAAUCAACUAACUUAAACAUUAUACACGCUGUCCUACUAUCCAAGUAGAUGAGAGGAAACGUAAGAGAGACUUGUAAUUAGAAGCAAACUACAGCUUCAAGAUGUAGAAUGUCUACGCAAAAACUAAUCUAUCUUGCCUCUACCAGUGAAAUCGAGCAUUGGUUUGUUGAAUAUCGUUUGCUGUGGCUUGGUAGAUUACUCGCUUCAAUAACGUCCCUUGCAGUAAAAUAACCCGGCUGUUUAGGCUGAGGCAAUUUAUCUUCAUUACCUAGCAUCAAAACCACAUACGAAAUGCUUGGCCUAUCUUCAGGACUUUCUUGCACGCAUAACAGCCCCAAUUGAAUCACACGUAGCACUUCAGAUAAAUUGCAUGUUUCAAUCGUCGAUUCCGCAAUCAGUUCCGAUGGCCUGCCUUCAUUAAACAGUGUCCAAGCCUGUUAAGAUAAAUCAUGUUACUAAAAUGAGAUCUCAUACCCAGAACUAAAAAAAAACCUUAAGUUUUUUUUAUGGCAGUACUUACAUGUCCAAGUAGGUUGAGUUGGUGAUCUGAAUGAUAGAAUCCUCUGUUCCUGUUGCCACUUACUGUCUCUAACACCAAUACACCAAAGCUGAAGACAUCUGAUUUUAAUGAGUAGAGUCCAUGGAAUGCAUACUCUGGAGAUAUGUAGCCACUGGAAAUAUUCAAAGAAUGUUAGAUGGCAUCUGUCAGAAUUGGAAGUAAACUAUGUAUGCUGGAAACACUUACUAUGUCCCCACCACUUUCCUUGUUUUGGAUUCAGUUUCAUUUCCUUCAACACCUCUCGCCAUCCCGAAGUCUGAAAUUUUUGGGUGCAUGUUGUAAUCUAAUAAAAUAUUGCUGGCUUUUAGAUCUCUGUGAAUUACUCUUAGUCUUGAAUCUUGGUGAAGAUAAAGUAGUCCACGAGCAAUCCCAUUGAUAAUAUUGUAACGCUUAGGCCAAUCUAAUAGCACGCUCCGUGUGUCAUCUAUCUCAAUUACAUAUUUUUCACACGUCAAUCCAUGUCCUUAUCAGAUUCUUAAAUGCAUGUCAAAGAACCACUUGGAUCCUACUUAAAUUAUCAUUACAAUGAUGAAAAUAUUAAUGAAGUAUAAAUGAUCAAGUAAAUCGGUAUAGGUUAGAGAUCCAAACCAAAAAUAAAGAAGUCCAAGCUUUUGUUAGGCAAGAACUCGUAAAUCAACAUCUUUUCCUCUCCUUCAAUGCAGCAUCCUAGAAGCUUCACUAGAUUCCGGUGCUGAAGGUUCACUAUAUGCCUGACUUCAUUUUUGAACUCAUCGAGGCCUUGUCUCGAACUCUUAGAGAGCCUCUUCACAGCUAUUUCAAGUCCAUCUUUCAGUGUCCCCUGAUUAUCAUAAGCAACUAAAUAAUAUUUAGUCCUUUGAGAUUGAGUUGAGAAUCAUAAUAUGAUGUCGCGUAGAACUUGCAUGGAAAGUAAUAGUUUAAUACCUUAUAAACAUGUCCGACUCCUCCUCCUCCCAGCAUAUUGUUAAGAGAAAAGUUAUUUGUUGCAGAAGCCAAGGUAUCUAUUGUAAACAACAAUACUUCCAGAUCUUUGUUCUUGUGCUUGUUAUUUGAACUUAUUCCCGAAACACCAGUCAUUUUUCCUGCCAGAAGAGAAGAAAGAAUGGAUCUCUAUUCUCUGCUAAAUACAGAUCUCUUAAGAAAAUCAAGUACAGUGAUCUCUUUAACAAUUUUCGGUCGUAGAUUGGAUUACUAAAACUCAACUUUGAAAACAAACUAAACUGCCUAUAUCAAUAGAAUAUGGAAACAGAGGGGAAGGGGCAUAGAAGAGGUUAGAAUUUCAUGGUGUGAGUGUAACAUACUGUUUUUCAUCUGAUGCCUUUUCCAAACAUAAAAGACCAGGGCCAGGCCAAGGAACAGAAUUCCUGUAGACAACACGACGCGUAGUAUGAUCCUUUUCUUCUCUUUGGCUUUCGUUUCAAUCUUUACACCAUAACCGUUAUCUGCACAUCAAGGAGUAAAAAAACUAAAGUUAAAAGAUAAUAACAGGUAAUGCCACUAUGCUAUGUAUUUGUUUUGUUAGUUAAUAUGGCUUGAGAAUUUUCAUUAGCUAUCUGGAUCCUUUCAUCACAGUUCAUAUGAUAACUUCAUACCUAGUUCUGAAGCAGCCAUCCUUAUAUAAAUGUCUGGUUCAUUUUCAACAAGUAUUCUAACAUCAAGCAGAUCAUUGAACCAGAGCAAGCAUCCAUUUCCUCCAUCCCUGAUAUCUAAAUUUGAAUAAGCUGUACAACUGCAGUUAUUCAAGCACGUGUUCUUGCACUCUUCAAGAUUCAUGCUCCUGUUAAACCAUGAUGUUUUUGUCUGAGGCAACUUCACAGCCGAGACCUUUUGAAACCCGUCUCCAGAGCAAUUUAGUGGAGUCCUUCUAACACAACCACUUGACCAGUCCAUCAACUCCCAUUCGCUUUGAACUUUUGGUACAAAUCCAUUCAAGCAACCACACAUUGGAGAGCUGUUGAUACUACAGAUACCAUUUGCACCACACAGUGCAAAACGUUCACAAUUAUCGGUAUCUAAGGUGAGAUAAAGCAGCCAACUUUGUGUUUGUUCAAUCCACGUGAAGCGCAGGACAUCACCACCCUGAGUUACCAUGACCCUCCACGGCAUUGACUCACUGAGAACAUGAUAUCUGUAAAAUAUCUCCUCCUCAUUAAAAACAAAUUCAAUUGAGUAUUUGGGAUUUGGGAUUUGGUUUUGAUUGAGGCAUGCCACUGAACCUCAGACCAUUCCACGGUCCAGACCGGUGCUUAACAAUUGAAUUCUCCACCACAAUUAUCUCAGGAUAUCCAUAAGGAACAAGAAUUACUGAAACAUUACCUCUUGAAGGAUCAUCCGGUGACUUCCAGGAUGUAAUGUAAGAGUCCAUCCCUGUUAUUCUAUUCCGUCCUAGCUUCAUUUCAGGCAAUAAUGUAUCAGCUGGAUGUUCAAAACUCUGCCACAAGGAGCUUUCCAGGUUAUCAUCACCCUCCUCCUUCACAACAAGGUUUCCUGAAUCCAAAAGUUGAGCGGCUGGAUUAGUCGCAGGUCGCGAUGAGUCGGAAGACCAAACUAUGCUCCCGUUCCGAUUUGAAAGGACGAGAAUUCCUUGGUUGGUAAGCCUUAAAACACCUGAUGAAUCAUUAAGUGGGGUUUCUCUGUUGGCAACCCAAACUACAGUCAUCACAGAUAUUUUAGCAUACCAUACCCCCAAGUAUCGGUUUGCAGAAUUCCCCGGGCUAAAAAAUCCCAACUCAUAGGCUCCAUUAGCUGAAAGAAUAGUAUCACCAUCUCUAAUGGAUUGAGUUGUGUUUAUGGUGUCAAUUGCAGUGGAUGUAUCAAUAAUCAACAAUAAAAAGAGAAAUAUGGGAGCUAUGCGAUCCAUUGUUGUUCUCAUGAUUUCUUUGCAGCUCACAUCUUUUAUUUCAAAGACAGACUUAGAUGUAGAAAUACUCCAUGUAAAAAAAAAAUUGCAAUCAUAUUAAUUAGUUCCAUCUAGAGGUGAAUUAGUGAUUUGACAGGCAGUGUUGUUAAGUUUUAUUUCUAAAUGACAACGCAAUUUCUAUAUUUAUUUUCAAAAAUUGACAUGCAGUGUUGUUAAGCUUAGUAAAGCUGAAUUAGUGAUUUGCAUGGUCCGUUGGACUUGGACGAGUAGACUUGUACUCCCCUUCAUCUAAAAUUCUUUCAUUAUCCAGCAAACCUUGUAUACCAUUACUAUUACGAUAUAUUUCUGUUGGUGUUUAUUAAUAAGUAUAGCAAAAGAUUAUUUUGUUUACUAAUAGAUACAGCAAGAGUUUAUUGAUAGAUCUGUUGAUAUUUUUAUUCGUAUUUAUUAAUUUUGUGACUUGACAUUCAAUAAUAGCCAUACAAAUUUAAGAAGCUAAUUGGUUGUUUGACUUCAAAUGCAAUUAAUUAGCCAGCAUUUGCUUUUGUUUUUUUUUUUUUUUCUUUUUUUUUUUAAUUUUACCCUUUAAAAUUAGAUUUGUUUUUUUUUACAUUCAAUAAUAGUCACAAGGCUACUUCGUUUGAGAUGUUUUUAUGAUUUCAGCCAUGAAGAAUAGAUAUUUUAAAUUCUCUCAUACUUAUUGUAUUGAAUAUUUAUCAAAAGUAUCUAAGGGGCAGAAUUAUAAAAUUUAGAGGAGGCCAGAAUUGGACACCCAUCUUAGUGUAAGAGUGUAUUAAUUGGACACCCAUCUUCAAAUGAUUUUAUUUCUAUAAAGAUAAACCUGAACAAGACAAGUUCAUCAACCCUUAAGAACAAGUAUAGAAUAUACAAUGCAUCCUAGGGAUGGUUAUAUAGCAUAACAACAUAAUGUGUAAAAUCUAAUCUUCCCCAUCAUGUUCCAUGAGUGUACAUUAACCUACUACCAUAGCUUAGAACAUGGUUACAUUAUAAACUUUUUUUAGUUUGUGUGCCAAGCUUAUUGUCUGUUUUAACCUAAGCAUAUCUACUAAAAUGAGCUAAACCAAGCUCUUCGUUCUCGCCCAACGAGUGAAUGAAAGUAUCAAAGCUUAUUUAAAAAUAUUUAAUGAAUAAGUGUUUAAUGUGGAAGGUUUACUAGAACCUAUUAUUAUUGCGACCUUAAUUAGUGGGGUACACAACUAAUUUUCAUGGAAACUGUUUGUAAUGUUUUGUAUUAAAAGAUAGGAAAUGGCAACAAGGCCCUUGAAUGCUUAGAUGUAGGAAUAAAUUAAAUGAGGGGUAGUGUGGUAAUUGAACAAUAGUUGAUAUAUAUAAAUAGAGAGAAGGAAAAAAAAAAAAAAAACAAAAGAGAGAUCUGAAUUUUGAGAGAGAACCGGCAGGAGAGAAAGGGAGAAAGAAGAAGAAGAAGAGAAAAGAGGGAAAUUAGAAAGGAAAUAGAAAGGAGUUGGAGAAAAUAAGUAAAAAGGUAAGAUUAUGUAUAAAUAUAUGUUAAUUAAGCUUUAAUUUCGAUUUUGAUAAAUGUUAGGGUUAUGAAAUUUGUGUUUUGGGUUUGAUUGAUGAUUUAAUUUGAAUAUUAUAGAGUUAAUUGUUGUGGGUAUUUGAUUAUUUGGAUGAUUUUGAGAGAUUGAAUUGAAAGAUGAUGAUUUUGAGUUAUGAUUUUGUUUGAAUGGUGAAUGUUGAGUUAGAAAUUUGGCAAGAACAGUAGGUUUCUGUUAAAAAUUCUGGGUUGGAGGUUGAAGAUGACGAAAAUUCAAUUUGGUCCCUCAAUUUUGGAAAAUUACAGUUUAGUCCCCAAACUUUGGAAAAUUUGCAGAUUGGUCCCUGGAGCAUAUUCCGAGAUUCUGAACAGAAUAACAUAUGAAUUAUGGACAGAAUUACUGUAUAGAUAAGAGAAUUUAACACUUUCAAUUUAGUCCUCCAAUUUGACAAAAAUUACAAUUUGACCCUAAAAAUUUGGUAAAAUUCCAGAAUGGUCCUUGGAGUAUAAUGAGAUGAUCUAGACAGAAAUGAGGACUAAUUAUGGUCAGAAUUUCAGUAUAUUCAUGGAUUUAUGAUAAAUUUCAGUUUGGUCCUCCAAUUAGACAAAAAUUACAAUUUGGCCCUAAAAAUAUGAUAAAUUACAGAUUAGUCCCUAGCUGUAAUAUUAUCCUUUUCAGAUUGGUUUGAUGAAUAAUUGAGGGUUAUUUAGUGAAUUAUUAUCAAGUUUUAUUAUUUGCUUUAUUAUGGAUUAGAUUUCGGGAAAACCGUUAAAUUUUGGGUUUUAGGAAAAAUAACUAGUUAGUUCAAAAACAUAUAGGGUUAUGGAAUGCACCCUUAGAUAAGUGUAUUAAAUGGGUUAUAUAUUCCUUUGAGUUAUUCUUGAAUAUGCCUUCUUUGUAUUCAGAUAAUCCUGAUAUUCUACCGGCGGGACGUCAGUAGGAUUUUCUUCAGUAUUUGCUUUUGACUUCUGUUUGCUUUCGAGUCAGGUGAGUGGAUAAUUUUCCAUAUGCAUGAGAAAUAGUAUAAAUAUUUGAUUUGUUAUUAUGAAUUGAAUCAUGCUUCUUGAUAAUAUAUAUGUUGAUUAUUAUCCUUGUUAUGAUAAAGCAUGAUCAAUUGUUGAAUCUGAAUUCUUGAUAUGAACCAGUAUAUAUUUUGAAUUGAAUUCUGAAUUGAUAGCUCCUCAUUUGAUUGAUGUCAUGAGUUGAGCCUUGAGAUAUGAAUAUGUCUGUUUGAAUAUGAUUAUGAACCUAUGGUAUGUCAGUCAGAAUACCCAUGCUAACAGGGUAGUGUUAGUCUUUGUGCACAUCGUAUCUGAACCCUAGUUGGUCGGGGGAGUCACCAACCUGUGUGGACUGAUCAUCCCACAGUACGGAGCCUCAUGCUCAUUGCAUUUUGAUUUUCUGACUAGUUUUACCAUAUGAUAUUCUUGUUAUGGCCUAUUUGAAAAACCUUUCCAUAAGAACCUAAAGCCAUACUUGUAUAUAUAUUUCUCAUUGCUGUAUUACCUCGUGUGUGUAUAUUGAACGCUAUCUAGUCACUGAGUUGUUGAACUCACCAUCUCAUUAUUUAUCCUUUUCAGGCUUAUAGCUUGAUAGCAGGUCAUUUUGUUGGACCUUCAGAACCUGCUUUUUGGUUGUAAUUUGUACCUUCCUUUUAUGUCAAGUUAGUGCUCCAAAACUAUGAAUUAUAUUAACUCUUGUAUUAAGACAAUUCAAUUAUAUUAUGAAGUUGAUUUUGUUGUUAAUGCUGCGUUGAACUCUGAUUGAGUUAGGAUAAGUUUGUGUGUAAGUUUGGGUUCGCAUAGGUAUGGAACCUUGGAGGGGAACCUUGCC
This 11846-nucleotide long non-coding RNA is filed under the name Populus trichocarpa (black cottonwood). RNAcentral describes it as "long non-coding RNA (PTRI_LNC002782)". Lineage: Eukaryota; Viridiplantae; Streptophyta; Magnoliopsida; Malpighiales; Salicaceae. The record is from RNAcentral.